GGAGUUGAAUGAAUGAAGAAUUCAGACCCGAGCAGAGCAUUUACAGUUUAUGUAGACCACAGGGAAAUGUCUGAAAAUGAAGAAUUCCAUUUAAAAAAGCUAAAUAUCACUCCUUUAAGCAUGGAUUUGUCAAUUAAAAACUGGCCACAGAACCACAGAAGGGUGUCACUGAACAGUUAGUAUCGAGAAGUCGACAAAGUCAUGUGAUUUUGUUUUUAUUCUUCAUUUCCUGAAGGAUCGACAACAUGUAUUCCAUCAUGUUUUAGUUCCGACACGAUAACAGUUUCUGCCUCUAAUCCCCUCAUGUCACAGUGACCCUCGUAACAGACUAAAGGUCUUUAAACACAGGUUAUGUUUUAUUUCAUAGUUGAUAUGUGGUGGAAACAGAGUAGGGGUGUGUGUGUGUGUGUGUGUGUGUGUGUAUAGUCGGGAAUUGUCGAACAGGUUGAUGCUGAAUUCCCAAAACCACAAUGAUCUUCCAUGUUCCUGUUCUCUGAUUCAGGUUGAUUUGGUUAAUUCUGAUCACACGGUUAUAAAACAGAUGCCACUGUGACCUUCUCUUAAAUCUCUUUAAAGCUGCUCACAAAUAAUUUUACCAGAAUUAACAAAAUAUAUCACAUUUUGGACAGAAUCCCUAACUUCCCUUAACUUCUCGUCUAUGACUAUGUCAUGGACCACCAAUGCUAACGACCUGUUAUUUUGUGUCUUUGUAUGUAAACUCUGGUUGCAGCUGCGCAUCAUCAGGUUUUUUUAUUUAUUUCUUUUCGUGUAAAAUGCGAAAUGGCUCAAAGCAGCAGCUCAUAAAUAUCCAGACCUCAUUUGUCUUGAAGUAAACUGGCUUGUGGCCUUGACUAUUUGCUGGAUUUUAUUUUUGCGUCUUCUACAAAUGUAUUUUACUUUGAUUUAAAAGAAAAUAUUGAAGUUUUUGUGGGAAAAACAACCUAUCAUUUGUCAGUAAUUAAGAUAAAAGGCUAAUUUCAGAUAAUUCAUCGGACCACAACAGUUUUAGGCUUCGAUCCUCUGGACUAUUUGGUCACCAAACGUCUUGGGUUUUCAUUGUCUGGACUUUGAAUCUCCAGGGUACAACAGUGUUCAAGGGCCUUUUUAGGUAAAAGUUAAAAUGUUUACAAGCUGGGUAAGGACGGGGAAUAUUUUAAAGAAUAAAACGUGGAUAUUCUCGGAAAUUAAAGUCAUAUAUUUGCAAGAACAAACUCACAAAUACUCUGAGAUUAAAGUAAUACAUUUAUGAGAAAAGUUUUUAAGUUUGUGAGUUUAUGUUUGACUUAAUGUCAGAAUAUUCAAGUUAUUUUCUCUUAAAUUUAUGACUUUAAUACUAUUGAAUUGUGAGUUUAGUUCUAGUAAAUUCACCGUUUUAAUAUCCAGUUGUUUUUCUCUAAAUCCCACUUGUACGUUUAUUAAUUUGACCUAAAGAAGGCCCUGCACCAUUAAACGGGCCGUGUCUAUGUUUUGGAUUACAUAACUGUAACUAAUAGAAGAAAUUAAAAUUGUCUGCUUUUAUUCCAGUUUGGAUAUGUCUACGUCCUGCUAAAAAGUGCAAAGUAAGAUGUCUCAAUGGUUUGACUAUUCGUCUACGUCUGGAUUUAUUUUUUAUUUUAGGUUCAACAGGAAAUGACUCAACAAACACCUCUGGACUUGUUGGCCUUUGGUUUUUUCCAUCGGAUUGUCUGGAAUGUUUUCUUAUGUUACUAAACUACACAGGCCCUGACUAUGUACUGGACUAUACAUGUGUCUCUACUGAUGGGGCUCUGACUAUACCUUGGAUUGUACUUUUAUUUUGCCUGUACAUUCUCUGCUUUAUUUUUUUGUUUGUAUACUGCAGUAAACAAAAAAAAAAAGACACAAAAACAUCCACUACAGUCUGGUGUGUUUAAAGAAUUUGUUUGCAUUGCAGCUUCGGGCUUUCACAAACUCAUUCAGACCAAACUUUUAAGAUUCUAUGAGAUGUUUAAAUAAGAGAUGAGAAAUAUUUAGAAUUCGGAGCUGCACUGAAAAUGAAUCCAAAGCUUCUGUGAGUGGGAUCGGUCUAUGUGCUGGGCUGCAGGCCGGCCUCUCGCUCAGUGUUUCUGUCGUUAUAUUUUAUUUUAUUUUAUUUUUUGGCCUGUCGCUUUUGGUUUUGUUUGUAAUGUUGAAUCUGUAUAUAAACGCUGUCGUAUGACUUCUAACUGUAUGAAGAAUCAGCUGAUCUAUUUAUGAGACGGAUGUCGAUGAUCAUGACGCUAAUUAUUGUAACUUGGAUUAAAUCGGAUUAAAUAUC
Molecule: long non-coding RNA, 2275 nt
Organism: Sphaeramia orbicularis (orbiculate cardinalfish)
Lineage: Eukaryota; Metazoa; Chordata; Actinopteri; Kurtiformes; Apogonidae
Exons: 2
Source: RefSeq, a predicted model, not a curated record